Molecule: ribosomal RNA, 377 nt
Filed under: uncultured bacterium
Lineage: Bacteria
Description: bacterial SSU rRNA
Rfam family: Bacterial small subunit ribosomal RNA
Source: RNAcentral
AUACGGGGGGUGCAAGCGUUGUUCGGAAUUAUUGGGCGUAAAGAGCGUGUAGGCGGCUGAAUAAGUCAGAUGUGAAAGCCCUGGGCUUAACUCAGGAAGUGCAUUUGAUACUGUUCAGCUGGAGUAAGGGAGAGGAAAGUGGAAUUCCUGGUGUAGAGGUGAAAUUCGUAGAUAUCAGGAGGAACACCUGUGGCGAAGGCGACUUUCUGGCCCUAUACUGACGCUGAGACGCGAGAGCGUGGGUAGCAAACAGGAUUAGAUACCCUGGUAGUCCACGCCGUAAACGAUGUUCACUAGGUGUUGGGGGUAUUGACCCCCUCAGUGCCGUAGCUAACGCAUUGAGUGAACCGCCUGGGGAGUACGGUCGCAAGACUAAA